UUCACAAAAGCCAGCCGAGAUAAACCUAUUAUGCACAGUAGUUAUAGGUGAGAAUGACAAACUCAGAACCAAAUAAGGUUUUAGUUUUGAUUAGUAAAUGCAUUUUUAUGCACCUAAAAACUUAGAUUAAAAAUUAAUAAAUAAGUAUAAUUUCUUGCAUACCUCCUUUAUAUCUAUCCGCUGACUGUAAAGCUACGGCUAGCAGUUUGUUAGCCUAAAUUGCAUAAAGACUGACAGAUGGGGACAGACCGAAGUGGCUUUGUCUUCAAAUCACAGAAUCAGCCUACCAGCACUUCUGUUUUAUGUUCCUAGUUACAUCUGUUCAUUCAUUCUCAAAAGACCCAGUAAGCUUCAUUCAUUGUUCACAGUACUCACCGUCUUUUCCAAAUUAGCAUUAUCUUAGCUAGCUCAUUGGUCAUUAACUUGAAAAUAUGAUAUUAACUUUACUCCACAUAAACUUGUUCUAUUUAAUGUGAGUAUUAGACAUAAUACAAGUUUUAUUAGCAAAAUGCUAAAAUAAAGUACUUUUUUCAUGCAGUAAAAUUAAUACUAGCAGAACUAGCAGUCUAGAUUUUGUUUGUAUGUUUUUUUUUCCCACUCAGAACACCCGAGGAGACAGAAAACUUUACUAAUAUGUAUUUUCUCUUCAUUCAUGUUCUAUGCUUGAGCAAAUUUUUAACGGCAGUCCGCUUGCUUUUACACUUGAACCAGAAGUGCUGGUAGGCGUUAGCUACAUAAAGUGUUUCUACCUUAUUCCAGUCUUUAUGCUAACAUUACCACCUAGCUAUUUUACAGACAGAUGUAAAUGGUUUUGAUCUUAGAAAGAUGUAUGUCAUUUCCAGUAAUAUAAAAUUAUGACUUCAGUUCCUUGGCUAAUAAACCUCGUCCAAUUAUUCGUGUCCUCUGUAACCAUGGUUCUCAUGUCAUGUUGACCAAAUUGUUGUUUUUUUGUUUGUUAAAAUGAAGUGUUGCACUUGAGUGGCUUCUCUGGUUACAUGUUAGCUAUUACCCAGCUUCAGUAUAUGUCAAAGCUAAUACUUUAUUUCCUGUCUUCUGUUGUCAGAACAAUUACUGUCCUUUUAAUUAUUUUUGACAAAUUUUUAAAUAAUUUUCCCUAAUUAAGAGAAAAGUAAUCUGACAGAAGCUUCCAUGUUGCUUGGCCACUGACUUGCCCAAGUCCCUGUAUACUACAAAAAAAAGACAGCAAUAAACUUAUCACUUAUCAAAAUUA
Long non-coding RNA from Astatotilapia calliptera (eastern happy), 1231 nucleotides. The record is from Ensembl. NCBI's taxonomy places the organism in Eukaryota, Metazoa, Chordata, Actinopteri, Cichliformes, Cichlidae.